CAGCAGCCGCGGGAAUACGAAGGGGGGCUAGCGUUGUUCGGAUUUACUGGGCGUAAAGCGCACGUAGGCGGAUCGAUCAGUCAGGGGUGAAAUCCCAGAGCUCAACUCUGGAACUGCCUUUGAUACUGUCGAUCUGGAGUAUGGAAGAGGUGAGUGGAAUUCCGAGUGUAGAGGUGAAAUUCGUAGAUAUCGGAAGGAACACCUGUGGCGAAAGCGGCUCACUGGACCAUUACUGACGCUGAGGCGCGAAAGCUAGGGGAGCAAACAGGAUUAGAUACCCCGGUAGUCCCUGUCUCUUAUA
Molecule: ribosomal RNA, 301 nt
Filed under: uncultured bacterium
Lineage: Bacteria
Description: partial 16S ribosomal RNA
Rfam family: Bacterial small subunit ribosomal RNA
Source: RNAcentral